This 490-nucleotide ribosomal RNA is filed under the name uncultured bacterium. Its description in RNAcentral is "partial 16S ribosomal RNA". It matches the Rfam family "Bacterial small subunit ribosomal RNA", at positions 30 to 507 of the family's 1533-position model. The record is from RNAcentral.
AUUGAACGCUGGCGGCAGGCCUAACACAUGCAAGUCGAACGGUAACAGGAAGCAUCUUGCUGCUUUGCUGACGAGUGGCGGACGGGUGAGUAAUGUCUGGGAAACUGCCCGAUGGAGGGGGAUAACUACUGGAAACGGUAGCUAAUACCGCAUAACGUCGCAAGACCAAAGAGGGGGACCUUAGGGCCUCUUGCCAUCGGAUGUGCCCAGAUGGGAUUUGCUAGUAGGUGGGGUAACGGCUCACCUUGGCGACGAUCCCUAGCUGGCCUGAGAGGAUGACCAGCCACACCGGCACUGUAACACGGUCCAGACUCCUACGGGAGGCAGCAGUGGCGAAUAAUGCACAAUAGGCACAAGGCUGAUGGAGCCGUGCCGCGUCUAUGAAGAAGGCGUUCGGGUUGUAAAGUACGUUCAGCGGGGAGGAAAGAAGUAACGUUAAUACCUUGGCACAUUGACGUUACCCGCAGAAGAAGCACCGGCUAACUCCGUG